GAUAUUCGUCUGUUUACCUUGUGAUUGAUUUACGGUAUGACAAGUUCAGUGGCUCAAUUGUUGAUCAAUUGAAAGCUACAGAGAAACUAAAUGACAUUUCAGCAUGCUUGUGAACAUGAUCGAAAUAUUUUAAACUAGGAAAUAUCCAGGGAGUAGGGUGACAUGCUACAGUAAGAUCACAAAAUGUCCUCAGUCCUUGCUACUUCUGAGAAAAACAAAUUAUUGGAGGGCAAUUAAAUAAGGCACCACAGCCAACACCAUUUCGAUAAAGAUCAGAUGCAGCUGAUACAUCCCCACCAUUAACAGUGGCACCAAAGGAACCAAAUCCACAUGCACCAACUGCAUUAAGUUAUUAGAACAUUUUAUGUUAGCAAAAUCCCAUUACAUCUUUGUGUUUGGUGGUCUUCAAUCAGUUUAAUUUUCUUACCGUCUGUGCCAUUUUCUUCAGAGUUUGGGUAAUAUGCUGCACGAGAUUGAAUAAAGGAAGUAUCUGCCAGAGUUUGCAUGAAAAGAAAGGUGGCAAGAAGAGGACACAAAAGAGAAAGAGCCAUGCUAAGGACAGAAUUAUAAAAGACUAAAAGGAAACAAUUAAGAUAAGAAGACAAAGACAAAUUUAGUGAUGAAUGAGGGAACCGAAUUUCUCCUAUUUAUAGAGAAUUUGGUCAAUGUUACCAACUUUGAC
This 682-nucleotide small RNA is filed under the name Vigna angularis var. angularis. RNAcentral's name for it is "Non-protein coding transcript". The record is from RNAcentral. Lineage: Eukaryota; Viridiplantae; Streptophyta; Magnoliopsida; Fabales; Fabaceae.